RNAcentral lists this ribosomal RNA (485 nucleotides) under uncultured Gammaproteobacteria bacterium. Its description in RNAcentral is "bacterial SSU rRNA". It matches the Rfam family "Bacterial small subunit ribosomal RNA", at positions 324 to 801 of the family's 1533-position model. The record is from RNAcentral. Lineage: Bacteria; Pseudomonadati; Pseudomonadota; Gammaproteobacteria.
ACACGGUCCAGACUCCUACGGGAGGCAGCAGUGGGGAAUAUUGGACAAUGGGCGAAAGCCUGAUCCAGCCAUGCCGCGUGUGUGAAGAAGGUCUUCGGAUUGUAAAGCACUUUAAGUUGGGAGGAAGGGCAUUAACCUAAUACGUUGGUGUCUUGACGUUACCGACAGAAUAAGCACCGGCUAACUCUGUGCCAGCAGCCGCGGUAAUACAGAGGGUGCAAGCGUUAAUCGGAAUUACUGGGCGUAAAGCGCGCGUAGGUGGUUUGUUAAGUUGGAUGUGAAAUCCCCGGGCUCAACCUGGGAACUGCAUUCAAAACUGACAAGCUAGAGUAUGGUAGAGGGUGGUGGAAUUUCCUGUGUAGCGGUGAAAUGCGUAGAUAUAGGAAGGAACACCAGUGGCGAAGGCGACCACCUGGACUGAUACUGACACUGANGUGCGAAAGCGUGGGGAGCAAACAGGAUUAGAUACCCUGGUAGUCCACGCC